ACUGAGCGCGCAUUUUCAGGUGCUGCGUUAGUUCGCAGUGAAACGGGAAGCUGGUGUCCGUCAUUCUGACCCAAUCCAGCGCUGCCCCCGCAACGGUAAAUUUUGUGGUAACGCCUUCGUGCAUACGCGAAUGGCAAAGCCGCUUCACGCCACCACUGUCUUCGGAUGGGAAGGGACGUGUCGCUGUCGGCCCCGACAACAGGAUCAGCCCGGAGACCGGCCUGAAAAUUUCAUCAACC
Rheinheimera sp. F8 is the source of this 239-nucleotide regulatory RNA element. The record is from Rfam. Lineage: Bacteria; Pseudomonadati; Pseudomonadota; Gammaproteobacteria; Chromatiales; Chromatiaceae.